UACGGAGGGUGCAAGCGUUAUCCGGAUUUACUGGGCGUAAAGGGCUCGUAGGCGGCCCGCUAAGUCGAACGUGAAAUCCCCAGGCUCAACCUGGGAACUGCGUCCGAUACUGGCAGGCUUGAAUCCGGGAGAGGGAUGUGGAAUUCCAGGUGUAGCGGUGAAAUGCGUAGAUAUCUGGAGGAACACCGGUGGCGAAGGCAGCAUCCUGGACCGGUAUUGACGCUGAGGCGCGAAAGCUAGGGGAGCAAACGGG
RNAcentral lists this ribosomal RNA (253 nucleotides) under uncultured bacterium. RNAcentral's name for it is "partial 16S ribosomal RNA". It matches the Rfam family "Bacterial small subunit ribosomal RNA", at positions 524 to 776 of the family's 1533-position model. The record is from RNAcentral.